RNAcentral lists this ribosomal RNA (521 nucleotides) under Bractechlamys vexillum. RNAcentral's name for it is "partial 16S ribosomal RNA". The record is from RNAcentral. Lineage: Eukaryota; Metazoa; Mollusca; Bivalvia; Pectinida; Pectinidae.
CCGAAGAUAGGGAGAUAGUGGCGAAAUACUUUUCGCACGGGUUGAUAGCUGGUUGUCCUAGAAAUAUAUUUAAGUAUAGCUUCUCUAGUGGAUGGGUGUUAAAAAAAAACUUAGUCGUUGGGCGGUGGUGUUUUCUAGUGAAAGUUGACUUUUUCAGGAUAAGCUGGGAAAGGUUAGAAAAAGUGAUUGUCGAAGUGGUGAGCAAGGAAGUGGGCUUAAAGGAGUCAUCUUUUACAGAGUGGGUUUGUCCUCACAAGUGCUCUUUUCAUAAAUAGAAAAUUAUUUGCUUUUUAAUUCUAUGGGACUUUUUUACGAAACGUUGGUAGUAAAAGUAAUAAUGUAAGGAUGAGUAGUCGAGUUGGUUGUAAGGGGUUCUUAGUUUCGGGGUAUAGGGCGAUAAGGGGGAUAAAGUUUUAGUAAUCAGAGUUAAAGGAACUCGGCAAAAUAGGGGACCGCCUGUUUAUCAAAAACAUGGCCUCCUGAUUACCAUGGGAGGUCGUGCCUUCCCGGUGAGCUUUCGA